GAAGAUGUCAGCUGGGAUUAAUCUUCCGCCAGACAGUGAGGUGGUACCAUCAUCUCUUUCUGAUGUUUCAUCUCUUAAGGAGACAACACGUCUCGACCCUUUAGCACUUGGAAGUGGUGUUCGUCAGUUUAGGCUUUCCCUUACGAGCUGGAUCGAUCAGAGUGAUUAGGAAGAUGGAUUCUCAGAAGAUGACUUCACAUAUUUUAUUACAUCCUAUCUACACUAUUACAAUACUAACAUCAAGGCUCUCUCUCCCAUUAAUGACAACAAAUCUUCUACAAGUAUCAGUGAUAGCGCUUCUACAAGUAUUAUUGUUAGCACGGACAGGUAUCAUCAACUUACAAAGGCAUGCCGAACUGCCCUUAUUCUCUUUAAAGUCCUCGACCUUUUAUGGAAACAGACACAUUCAUUUGAUCAGAUUUUGUUAAUCCACCGUAACGUGAAACGACUUGCCAGAAUUUACAAGCCUUACAACAUAUUCCCAUGCAGUGAUGAUCAUCCUAUAAGCAGAAUUCCUGAGAUACAAGCUGUUGCAAGUGCACUUCGUAACACAACGGGCUUAGAAUGGCUUGGAAGUUACAAGAACAAUGACGAUGAAGACAUUCUAAACAAGCUUCAAGCGAUGUUCGGCUUUCAGAAAGAUAACGUUCAAAUCAAAGAGAGCACUUGAAGGGGUUACUUGGAAAUUUCCAACUUCGAAAGUUUCAGAAUAAAGAACCAC
Long non-coding RNA from Brassica oleracea var. oleracea, 721 nucleotides. RefSeq lists it as uncharacterized. Lineage: Eukaryota; Viridiplantae; Streptophyta; Magnoliopsida; Brassicales; Brassicaceae. The transcript is spliced from 6 exons. The record is from RefSeq and is a predicted model, not a curated record.